GGAAUCUUCGGCAAUGGGGGCAACCCUGACCGAGCAACGCCGCGUGAGUGAAGAAGGUUUUCGGAUCGUAAAGCUCUGUUGUAAGAGAAGAACGUGUGUGAGAGUGGAAAGUUCACACAGUGACGGUAACUUACCAGAAAGGGACGGCUAACUACGUACACG
This 162-nucleotide ribosomal RNA is filed under the name uncultured bacterium. Its description in RNAcentral is "partial 16S rRNA". It matches the Rfam family "Bacterial small subunit ribosomal RNA", at positions 358 to 511 of the family's 1533-position model. The record is from RNAcentral.